Molecule: transfer RNA, 34 nt
Filed under: Gallus gallus (chicken)
Lineage: Eukaryota; Metazoa; Chordata; Aves; Galliformes; Phasianidae
Description: partial tRNA-Trp
Source: RNAcentral
GCCUUAAAUAAGAGUUAAACUCUCUUAGUUUCUG